GACGAACGCUGGCGGCGUGCUUAACACAUGCCAGUCGAACGGAAAGGCCCUGCUUUUGUGGGGUGCUCGAGUGGCGAACGGGUGAGUAACACGUGAGUAACCUGCCCUUGUCUUUGGGAUAACUUCAGGAAACUGGGGCUAAUACCGGAUAGGAGCUCCUGCUGCAUGGUGGGGGUUGGAAAGUUUCGGCGGUUGGGGAUGGACUCGCGGCUUAUGAGCUUGUUGGUGGGGUAGUGGCUUACCAAGCCUUAGACGGGUAGCCGGCCCGAGAGGGUGACCAGGCACAAUGGGACUGAGAGAGGCCGCAGACUGCAACGGGAGGCAGCGGGCGGGAGUAUUGCAGAGUGGGCGGGAGUCUGUGACGACAGCCCCGCGUGCGGAAUGACCUGCUUCGGGUUAUGAACAGCUGUGGCCUGAGACGAAGCGGGAGUGACGGUAAUGGGUAAAGAAGCACCGGCUAACUACGUG
Molecule: ribosomal RNA, 468 nt
Filed under: uncultured bacterium
Lineage: Bacteria
Description: partial 16S ribosomal RNA
Rfam family: Bacterial small subunit ribosomal RNA
Source: RNAcentral